Molecule: unclassified non-coding RNA, 439 nt
Filed under: Hevea brasiliensis (rubber tree)
Lineage: Eukaryota; Viridiplantae; Streptophyta; Magnoliopsida; Malpighiales; Euphorbiaceae
Source: RNAcentral
GCUCGAAUGACGUGAAGGUGGAGAAGGUGGUAACCCUGGAUAACGGACAUAAACCAUCUCAUAGGCACCAAAAUCCGUAGUCUUAAUGAAUACUGCCCUCUUCCAGAACUUCUGAUAGAUGGUUAAAGCUGUGGUACCAUCAAAUUUUCCAUCUGUAGGAACCAAGUUGAUAUGUACAAUUGUUUUCUCAAGCUGUUGGUCAGCUGCAUUUGCUCCCAUAAUCCGCACUUGACUCGUGUUUAGCAAAACACCAGCAGCAAUUUCCUUGGCUAGCUCAGAUACCAAAGGAAAGAAGGUAUAGAGUGUGACAUUGAGGCACAUCGCUACCUGAAUGGGCCACACACAGCCGCAGGGUGACCCAGGAGGUGUGUACGUCAACGGCUCAGUGCAUGUCAAAGAACUACAAUCAUGAUUCGGAGGUGGUGGUGGCAGUGUCAUA